Molecule: ribosomal RNA, 497 nt
Filed under: uncultured bacterium
Lineage: Bacteria
Description: partial 16S ribosomal RNA
Rfam family: Bacterial small subunit ribosomal RNA
Source: RNAcentral
GAUGAACGCUGGCGGCGUGCCUAAUACAUGCAAGUCGAGCGAACAGACGAGGAGCUUGCUCCUCUGACGUUAGCGGCGGACGGGUGAGUAACACGUGGAUAACCUACCUAUAAGACUGGGAUAACUUCGGGAAACCGGAGCUAAUACCGGAUAAUAUAUUGAACCGCAUGGUUCAAUAGUGAAAGACGGUUUUGCUGUCACUUAUAGAUGGAUCCGCGCCGCAUUAGCUAGUUGGUAAGGUAACGGCUUACCAAGGCAACGAUGCGUAGCCGACCUGAGAGGGUGAUCGGCCACCCUGGAACUGAGACACGGUCCAGACUCCUACGGGAGGCAGCAGUAGGGAAUCUUCCGCAAUGGGCGAAAGCCUGACGGAGCAACACCGCGUGAGUGAUGAAGGUCUUCGGAUCGUAAAACUCUGUUAUUAGGGAAGAACAAAUGUGUAAGUAACUAUGCACGUCUUGACGGUACCUAAUCAGAAAGCCACGGCUAACUACGUG